This 2929-nucleotide long non-coding RNA is filed under the name Triticum aestivum (bread wheat). RNAcentral describes it as "long non-coding RNA (TAES_LNC005610)". The record is from RNAcentral. Lineage: Eukaryota; Viridiplantae; Streptophyta; Magnoliopsida; Poales; Poaceae.
AAGGGACAUUCUUUAGCAAAAAAAUAAAAAAUUUGUUUUUCAAAAUUAAAUAUUGUUCUCUUAAGUAAAAAAAUGUUCUUCAAGACAAAUAAUGUUUCCUCGGCAUCAACAAUUAAAUGGGACAUGGAAAAAAUGUUCCCCAAAAUAAUGUUCUCUAAAAUAAUGAAAAACAGAAAAAUGUUCCCUAAAUAAUGCUUGUCAGGAAAUGUUUGCUGGUGCCAAGAAAUUUCUCUUGGAAAAUCUUCCCUAAAGUCUAAAAAAUAAAUGUUAUUUGAAUAUGUUCCCUCAAUAAUUAAAAGAAAUCCUAGAAAAAUGUUGACAUCAUGAAGUAAUCAUACACCUAAAAAAAUCCUAGAAAAAUGCCCUCUAAAAUAUUGAUAUCUAAAAUAAUGUUGCCAAAAAAAUGUUUUUUAAAUAAUGUUCUUUGGAAAAUGUUCCCUGGUUAAUAAAAAAAUGAAUAUUUAACUGGGGAACAAUAUUUAAGGGACAUUCUUCAAGGGACAUUAUUGGGGGAACAAGUAUUGCUCCGAUGAUAACUGAAUAAUGUUCAUUUUAAAUAACAUUAUUGGGGGAAACUAGUAUUAAAUAAUGUUCUCGGAAGUAUAAAAAUGUUCUUCAAGUCAUAUAAUUUUUCAUCGGCAUCAACAAUUAAAAUGGGACUUGAAAAAAAUGUUUCUUGAAUAGUGUUCUCUAAAAUAAUGAUAUACUGAAAAAUGUUCUCUAAAAAAAUGUUGCUUGGCAUCAACAAUUAAAUGAUACUUGAAAAAAUUGUUCUGUAAAAAAAUGUUCACUAGGAAUAGGGAAGAUGAAUGGCAAGAUUGGCCUCAUGUUAGAUAUAUGUCCAUUUGUAUCCUUCGCUCGAGUCCAUGAUUUCUAAUUUGUUAGAUACGAACGGUUUUGACCAAAAAAAACAUUGCUAGGAAGGAGCGAAAAAAAUAUUCUAGUCCAAACAAACUAUAGUCAUAACCCGUGUGUGCGCUUUUAUGAGAAAAAAACAUUAUGUGGGUCCAAAAACAGAUUUCCCAAUAAAUAACCCGAGCAAGUGCAUAAUGACGUUAUGAGAUCCCCUAAGAAUUCUUCUAUUACAAACAGACUGAAGUUUUCAUGAGAGUCAUGCUGUUGAUAUAUAUUCCCCAAAAAAAUGGAAGUACAAUGAGAAAAAUGAGAAAAAGGCUACUUAAAUGUAUAUUAAAGAAAUGUUUUCAUAAAAUGUUAAAAAGUUAUUUGGGAAAACUAAUGUUCCGUUGAGUCGAAAGUUUGUUCAGUGUUUCCUAGGAACGAGGUCCUAAGGAAGACCAAAAAUUGUAUCUUGUAAAACUAUGCAUCAACGUUGUUUUAUUCAUCACAAUGUGUUAACUCCUGUAAACCUAUGUUUGAUCCAGUUAUCAUAAAAAUUGAAAACAAUUAUGUGCAACAAACACAUAUAUAAAAGAAGAGGUGCUGCUCAAAAAUCAUAUAGUAAUACAGAAAACUACUGGUGAUACGAUUCCAAGAAAUGUAUUAAACUGUUGGGAAAAACAUUUAGUACAAACCGAGAGAAAAAUAUUAAAUUGUUCGGAAAAUUCUCCUCAUAAUAAUUGUAGUUUUCGGGGCGGACUUGGGAAGACUGAUUUCCACACAAGAGAAAAGAGGGGGUACUUAAAAGUUUUUCAAAUAUGAGAUAGCUGACUUUAUAACUACUUCUGCUGCAUUCAUGGGGCAAUUGGACAGAGUUCCAUUUUAGAAGCUGGAAGUGUUUCCGUUCUGCACGUAACUAACCGCGCUUUUUCCUCUUCUUGGUUGAAACAUCUUCUUGAAGUCCCUCGAAGUCAUGAACAAGAUAGAAACUGUCAGUACUAGACAUUACACACAACUCUUACAUAACAAGAUAAAACAAUUCACAUGCUGGUUAAAAAAUUGAUAGGUGCUUGCUUCUCGACAAAAUACAUCCUAACAAGUGGGUUCUAGUCCAGUUAUCUAGUGUUCCAUGUAUGUUCAAUUCCGUGAUAGUUCUAGGCACGUGUAGAAGACGUAGGGAAGAUGCCAGCGUGUCAGAAAGAAAGACAGAAAGUGGUAAACUCAAUUCAGCAGAGCUACUCUGACAUGGCACAUAAACCAGCAUAAACCAACUAAUUCAGGGAAAAUUGACCACAGUACAAUUUUCUUUGGCUUCUCCUCUGGACAAUAUUAUCAGUACAAUGUAUGCAGAAGACUGACAAUACAUGGACAAGAUUAACAGAGAACUCGAACAUUUGAUUGAACAUAGAAAUUGCAAUAUCAUCCUCCCCACAAGAGCAUUGACGACAGACAUGAAUAGUUACUACCAACCUAGAUAGACUCUUUUGCUCACUAUGGCAGACGCAGCAGACCAUCUAGAGCACUUAUUCGGCAGGAACGAUGACAGAAAAAUAAAAAGCAGUAACACCAGAUACAGUAGGCUUUGCCGGACACCAUCUCAGAGACUUCAGAUGUCUUUGGAACCGCAGAUUUCUCUCAGGCAGCGACACCUUUCUCGGCCACCUUCUCCACUCCCCAAGCACAUGAACAGACACCCUCCUACCAUCACUAUGCUGCAUUCAUACCCUGAAUCCAAAUUCUGAAGGCAACCCUCUUGUCUGGCUUCAGAUUCACCCAAAUCAGAACGAAAAAAUCGAUCCACUGCUGCCACCAAAACCUCCUACAAACCCUAGAAACGCUGGUCCGACACAAACGGGACAACAAUCGCCUCAAUCUGGCGAUACCACACACAGAGAACACGAACCAGCGUGACAAAGAACACAGCGGGGGAAUUGGGGGCAUUACCUUGAAGAUGCCGAACUUGACGGGGCUUGACGGAACCCUAGGCGCGCGGACCUUGACGGAACCCUAAAUGACCCGAGCUUGACGAAGCCUAGACGACCCCGUUCUUGAUGGAACCCUAGACGACGACGACGAGGAGGCUCUGACCACC